ACGAAAGCGUGGGGAGCGAACAGGAUUAGAUACCCUGGUAGUCCACGCCGUAAACGAUGCUAACUCGUUUUUGGUUUUUCGGAAUCAGAGACUAAGCGAAAGUGAUAAGUUAGCCACCUGGGGAGUACGAACGCAAGUCUGAAACUCAAAGGAAUUGACGGGGGCCCGCACAAGCGGUGGAUUAUGUGGUUUAAUUCGAUGAUACGCGAGGAACCUUACCAAGACUUAAAUGGGAAUUGACAGAUUUAGAAAUAGAUCCUCCUUCGGGCAAUUUUCAAGGUGCUGCAUGGUUGUCGUCAGCUCGUGCCGUGAGGCGUUAGGUUAAGUCCUGCAACGAGCGCAACCCCUGUCACUAGUUGCCAUCAUUCAGUUGGGGACUCUAGUGAGACUGCCUACGCAAGUAGAGAGGAAGGUGGGGAUGACGUCAAAUCAUCACGGCCCUUACGUCUUGGGCCACACACGUAAUACAAUGGCCGGUACAGAGGGCAGCUACGCAGCGAUGUGAUGCAAAUCUCGAAAGCCGGUCUCAGUUCGGAUUGGAGUCUGCAACUCGACUCUAUGAAGCUGGAAUCGCUAGUAAUCGCGCAUCAGCCAUGGCGCGGUGAAUACGUUCCCGGGCCUUGUACACACCGCCCGUCAAGCCAUGGAGGUCUGGGGUACCUGAAGUCGGGACCGUAACAGGAGCUGCCUAG
RNAcentral lists this ribosomal RNA (692 nucleotides) under uncultured bacterium. RNAcentral's name for it is "bacterial SSU rRNA". It matches the Rfam family "Bacterial small subunit ribosomal RNA", at positions 753 to 1460 of the family's 1533-position model. The record is from RNAcentral.